GACGAACGCUGGCGGCGUGCCUAAUACAUGCAAGUAGAACGCACAGUUUAUACCGUAGCUUGCUACACAAUAGACUGUGAGUUGCGAACGGGUGAGUAACGCGUAGGUAACCUGCCUGGUAGCGGGGGAUAACUAUUGGAAACGAUAGCUAAUACAGCAUAAUAUUGAUUAUUGCAUGAUAAUUGAUUGAAAGAUGCUAUUGCAUCACUACCAGAUGGACCUGCGUUGUAUUAGCUAGUAGGUGAGGUAACGGCUCACCUAGGGGACGAUACAUAGCCGACCUGGGAGGGGGAACGGCCACACUGGGGACGGAGAACGGCCCAGGCCUCUUCGGGAGGGAACAGGAAGGGAUUCUCGGCAAUGGGAGAAAGGCUGACCGGACAACGGCGGGGGGGUUGAGGAGGGUUUCGGGUCGUAAAGCUUUGUUUGUAGGGGAGAACGGAGGUGGUUGGUGAAAGUUCACACUGUGACGGUAUCUAACCAGAAAGGGACGGCUAACUACGUG
This 505-nucleotide ribosomal RNA is filed under the name uncultured bacterium. Its description in RNAcentral is "partial 16S ribosomal RNA". It matches the Rfam family "Bacterial small subunit ribosomal RNA", at positions 28 to 507 of the family's 1533-position model. The record is from RNAcentral.